RNAcentral lists this ribosomal RNA (1776 nucleotides) under Triticum aestivum (bread wheat). Its description in RNAcentral is "partial small subunit ribosomal RNA". The record is from RNAcentral. Lineage: Eukaryota; Viridiplantae; Streptophyta; Magnoliopsida; Poales; Poaceae.
AUGCAUGUUGAUACUAUAAUGGAAUCUCGUGAUGCAACAUUUUUUGAGAACAUAUUUCCUAUGAAAGAUAUGCAUAGCAUUGCUAGAUUUUCUUCUGAGAUAAUUCCUGAAUCUAGUACAACUGAUGAAUAUUUCGAACAAUCACAUGAGGAAGUCCUUGAGAAGGAUAACAAUGAAGUUCCUAAAAGGAACAAGAGACAAAGGAUUGCAAAAUCCUUUGGUGAUGAUUUCAUUGUAUACCUUGUGGACGACACACCCAAGACGAUUGCAGAAGCAUAUGCAUCUCCGGAUGUAGAUGAUUGGAAAGAAGCUGUUCAUAAUGAGAUGGACUCAAUUCUUUCUAAUGGAACUUGGGAACUAACUGAUAGACCAUAUGGUUGUAAACCUGUGGGCUAUAAGUGGGUGUUCAAAAAGAAGCUAAAGCCCGAUGGUACUAUUGAUAAGUACAAGGCGCGGCUAGUGGCCAAGGGCUACACUCAGAAAGAAGGCGAAGAUUACUUUGACACCUAUUCACCCGUUGCUAGAAUGACCACCAUUCGAGUGUUACUUUCCUUGGCUGCCUCUUACGGUCUUAUCAUUCAUCAAAUAGAUGUAAAGACAGCUUUUCUCAAUGGAGAGUUGGAAGAGGAGAUCUAUAUGGAUCAGCCUGACGGGUUUGUGGUAAAGGGUGAAGAGAGAAAGGUGUGCAAGUUGUUAAAAUCUUUGUAUGGUCUGAAACAGGCACCUAAGCAAUGGCAUGAGAAGUUUGAAAGAACUCUGACUUCUGCAGGAUUUGUCAUUAACGAGGCUGAUAGGUGUGUUUACUAUCGCCAUGGUGGGGGCAAUAGUGUCAUAUUAUGUUUGUAUGUGGACGACAUACUGAUCUUUGGUACAAACAUUAAUGCAAUUAAUGAGGUCAAGUCUUUUCUAUCAAAAAGUUUUGACAUGAAAGAUCUAGGAGAAACCGAUGUAAUUCUAAACAUCAAACUUAUUAAGGAUGAGAGUGGGAUUACAUUAACACAAUCUCACUAUGUUGAGAAGGUCUUGAACCGAUUCGGUUUUAUGGAUAGCAAGCCUUCUCCAACACCUUAUGAUCCCAGUGUGACACUCAGAAAGAACAAGAAAGAAACGAGAGAUCAAUUAAGAUACUCUCAAAUUGUCGGUUCACUCAUGUACUUAGCUAGCGCUACAAGACCAGAUAUCUCUUUUGCUGUGAGCAAACUGAGUAGGUUCAUGUCCAACCCAGGUGAUGAUCAUUGGCAUGCACUAGAAAGGGUCUUGCGCUAUCUGAGAGGUACUAUGAGUUACGGAAUUACUUAUUCAGGGCAUCCUGCUGUGCUAGAAGGAUAUAGUGAUUCAAAUUGGAUCUCCGAUGUUGAUGUACUUUACGCAACAAGUGGGUAUGUAUUUACUCAUGGUGGUGGCGCAGUGUCAUGGAGGUCUUGCAAGCAAACCAUAUUGACGAGGUCAACUAUGGAAGCAGAAUUAACUGCUUUGGACACAGCUACUGUUGAGGCAGAAUGGCUGCGUGAGCUCUUGAUGGACUUGCCGGUUGUUGAAAAACCUGUACCGGCUAUUCUUAUGAAUUGUGAUAACCAAACACGUGAAGAGACGUUUGAAGUCUGUCAGGAAGUUGAGAAACUCCGGAGUAAUAACUGUUACGUAUAUACAAACAGACAAAAACCUGGCAGAUCCCUUUACAAAGGGACUAUCACGAAAUGUGAUAGAUAUUGCAUCGAGGGAGAUGGGUAUGAGACCCAUAGAUGUUACACCAUAGUAGUAACCCAACCUUUGUGA